GCAUGGGUUUGGAUUUGUGGCAGGCCUGUCUCCCCAGGCUUCUCAUAGUGUUCCAUGCCAAACCAAACUGGGGCCCCAAACCAUUGGCUGGCCUCUGUGCCUGAGUGGAUUGUACAGUG
RNAcentral lists this small nucleolar RNA (119 nucleotides) under Jaculus jaculus (lesser Egyptian jerboa). Its description in RNAcentral is "Small nucleolar RNA SNORA42/SNORA80 family (ENSJJAG00000004725.1)". It matches the Rfam family "Small nucleolar RNA SNORA42/SNORA80 family". Rfam says of the family: The members of this family belong to the H/ACA class of snoRNAs that guide the sites of modification of uridines to pseudouridines. The record is from Rfam by way of RNAcentral. Lineage: Eukaryota; Metazoa; Chordata; Mammalia; Rodentia; Dipodidae.